UACAGAGGUCCCAAGCGUUGUUCGGAUUCACUGGGCGUAAAGGGUGCGUAGGUGGCUUGGUAAGUUUGAUGUGAAAUCUCCGGGCUUAACCCGGAAAUGGCAUUGAAUACUAUUGAGCUGGAGGUUUGGAGGGGGGACUGGAAUUCUCGGUGUAGCAGUGAAAUGCGUAGAUAUCGGGAGGAACACCAGUGGCGAAGGCGAGUCCCUGGACAACACCUGACACUGAGGCACGAAAGCUAGGGGAGCAAACAGG
RNAcentral lists this ribosomal RNA (253 nucleotides) under uncultured bacterium. RNAcentral describes it as "partial 16S ribosomal RNA". It matches the Rfam family "Bacterial small subunit ribosomal RNA", at positions 524 to 776 of the family's 1533-position model. The record is from RNAcentral.